GUUAACUUUUUCAAUUUUCAAUUUUGAGUGACUCUUUUUUGUUGCUCUUAAUCAGUCCUUUUCAAAUAUAGAAAUUCAAAGAUGGCUUCUGUUCACUUUCUUAAUUGGAUAUUACAACCCUAGGUCGUUUUCUUUUUUCUUGGUCUUAAUCAAUCCUUUUCAAAUAUUCAAAGAUGGCUUCUGUUCACUUUCUUAAUUGGUUAUUAUAACCCUAGGUCGUUCCAAAAAUAUGAAUUGAUAAAAAAAAUCAGAACUGUGUGUUUUCUUCUAUCUUCUAUUUUCUUAAAAUUAUCUCUCUCUUAGAUUAUGGAUAAUUGA
Molecule: long non-coding RNA, 318 nt
Filed under: Solanum tuberosum (potato)
Lineage: Eukaryota; Viridiplantae; Streptophyta; Magnoliopsida; Solanales; Solanaceae
Description: long non-coding RNA (STUB_LNC005435)
Source: RNAcentral